Molecule: ribosomal RNA, 840 nt
Filed under: Bacillus sp. PS-97
Lineage: Bacteria; Bacillati; Bacillota; Bacilli; Caryophanales; Bacillaceae
Description: bacterial SSU rRNA
Rfam family: Bacterial small subunit ribosomal RNA
Source: RNAcentral
AGCAGCCGCGGUAAUACGUAGGUGGCAAGCGUUGUCCGGAAUUAUUGGGCGUAAAGGGCUCGCAGGCGGUUUCUUAAGUCUGAUGUGAAAGCCCCCGGCUCAACCGGGGAGGGUCAUUGGAAACUGGGGAACUUGAGUGCAGAAGAGGAGAGUGGAAUUCCACGUGUAGCGGUGAAAUGCGUAGAGAUGUGGAGGAACACCAGUGGCGAAGGCGACUCUCUGGUCUGUAACUGACGCUGAGGAGCGAAAGCGUGGGGAGCGAACAGGAUUAGAUACCCUGGUAGUCCACGCCGUAAACGAUGAGUGCUAAGUGUUAGGGGGUUUCCGCCCCUUAGUGCUGCAGCUAACGCAUUAAGCACUCCGCCUGGGGAGUACGGUCGCAAGACUGAAACUCAAAGGAAUUGACGGGGGCCCGCACAAGCGGUGGAGCAUGUGGUUUAAUUCGAAGCAACGCGAAGAACCUUACCAGGUCUUGACAUCCUCUGACAAUCCUAGAGAUAGGACGUCCCCUUCGGGGGCAGAGUGACAGGUGGUGCAUGGUUGUCGUCAGCUCGUGUCGUGAGAUGUUGGGUUAAGUCCCGCAACGAGCGCAACCCUUGAUCUUAGUUGCCAGCAUUCAGUUGGGCACUCUAAGGUGACUGCCGGUGACAAACCGGAGGAAGGUGGGGAUGACGUCAAAUCAUCAUGCCCCUUAUGACCUGGGCUACACACGUGCUACAAUGGACAGAACAAAGGGCAGCGAAACCGCGAGGUUAAGCCAAUCCCACAAAUCUGUUCUCAGUUCGGAUCGCAGUCUGCAACUCGACUGCGUGAAGCUGGAAUCGCUAGUAAUCGCGGAUC